RNAcentral lists this ribosomal RNA (301 nucleotides) under uncultured bacterium. RNAcentral's name for it is "partial 16S ribosomal RNA". It matches the Rfam family "Bacterial small subunit ribosomal RNA", at positions 509 to 809 of the family's 1533-position model. The record is from RNAcentral.
CAGCCGCCGCGGGAAUACGUAGGGUGCGAGCGUUAAUCGGAAUUACUGGGCGUAAAGCGUGCGCAGGCGGCUUUGCAAGACAGAUGUGAAAUCCCCGGGCUCAACCUGGGAACUGCAUUUGUGACUGCAAGGCUAGAGUACGGUAGAGGGGGAUGGAAUUCCGCGUGUAGCAGUGAAAUGCGUAGAUAUGCGGAGGAACACCAAUGGCGAAGGCAAUCCCCUGGACCUGUACUGACGCUCAUGCACGAAAGCGUGGGGAGCAAACAGGAUUAGAUACCCGCGUAGUCCCUGUCUCUUAUAA